Molecule: long non-coding RNA, 6087 nt
Organism: Clupea harengus (Atlantic herring)
Lineage: Eukaryota; Metazoa; Chordata; Actinopteri; Clupeiformes; Clupeidae
Source: Ensembl
CUCUUGUCACAUUGUGUUGGGACUGAAAUUGAGACAAACAGAAUAUUUGUAUCAUAGACGCCUCACGCAAAGACCAGAAGCCGAGCGCUUCACCGUGUGACCACUGAGGAUCGGCCCGAGUCAUUAAGUUAUCUGCUACUUCCGUUGUGUUGUGUGCCAUGCGGCGACCGCAAACUGCUUAAAACGGUCAGACCAGCUGAAAUGGGAGCAAUCUGAAAGGGAACACGGAUAGAGAACAUUAACAUGUGUACGUCCUUUCUAUGCACACAAAGGCCCCAGUUUGGUACAAACCCCCUUUUUUGCUCCCCAAUGAUAUACAAAUGACAACAAAUAGCAUUAGGCCCGCUGAAAACAAGGUGCAGGGUGGGGACUGGGACAAUGGGUGGCUUCUGACCCCCCGCGAGAAGAAUUCCAUUUUGGAGCAUUCUUGCCCCCCCCCCCCCCCCCCGCUGCUUAGCAACCAAGCAUUUCAGAAUACUUCAGAGUCUGGCAACCCUGAGCAACAGCUCAUAUUAAACAUUAGCCCGUUAGCCUCCAUUACGUUCUUUACAUUUACCCAAGAAUUUCUUAAACCAGUCUGGAGGGUUUGGGGGAGGGGGGGGGGGGGGCACACACCCAGCUUCUCAUAAAGUCAACUUAAACAGCACAGACGGAACACUUGAAUCCUCUGGUGAAAAAGAUGCAUGGAUGCAAAACCAAAGUUGUCAUCCAUCUACCAUAAUGCAAACACAACAGAGUAUGCAGGACCGAUCCACACUUAGUUGUGUCCCAUGUCCCAAAGUCAGACUAGCACGGUUGAGGCGCAGGCUACAUGGAGGUGUCCCAUGUGGUGGCUGGGCUGAAUAAAACGCCACCGAUCGCUCACCUUGCCUGCACUGUAAAAGCCCGUUAUAUCCCUGCGCGCCACAGUGUCACAUUUCACACGCAAACACCACUGGCUAAGCCCACAUCACACAACAUCCAUCAAGCCAGAUCAGCCUCGGCUCCUCGGCCUCCGCAAGUCAAGACACUCGCUGUUCUCAUUUGACAAAUAUUUUUCACCAACUGUGGCUUCGGCGUUUCGCGUCGGUUUGCUCGGAGGUUGGGCCCCGUCAGCCCGGUUCUCCAGAAUCCACGCGUGGGCGGAACCUCAGGCCCGACGGCAGCUUUUCAGGUUCUUUUUUUUGGUGAGGCCUUUCCCACGCAGAAGACGGCAAUGACCAACUGCUGUGUGUACUUAAGGGGAAACUGUUAACCGGAGGAGGAGGCAGUUCAGUCUCAUCGCACGCUCUUUAAAACGGUACUCCAAGGGCAGUAUGUAUCCAGAUCUCUGCCAGGUCACCAUACAAUACGAUAAUGGGCAACAGUGACAUGCUCCAUUCCCAAUAAAUGAAAGAGAUCCUAACAGAGAAGAGAGGUUUUACAAGGGGACUGGUUCCACUGACCGGGCAAACAUGCAAUGGAUACAAGUCAAAAUGGACAUAUCAGGGAGUAGCUAGCGUUUCAACAUUGUGAAACGACGAAACAUGAGACUAUUGUGUUUUAUAUAUCUAUAUAAAACAACCAUGAAGCCUUGCAGGCAAAUUGCCAAGCAUGCUUUUAUUUAAGCAGAAAUGUCCACUUUCAGGACUGAUUACUGGGAGGGGCGAGGAGUGGUCAACCCAAACUACUUCUGGGCUGAUUACAUAGCUGAUAGCGCUGAAGAUAAACACCAAUGCCCUGACUAACUCAGAAACCUUCCUCACAGCUCAUCUUCCACACACACACACAUGUCUGGGCAAAGCCAUGGGGAACUGCUAAGACUGCAAAAAGUAGAACCUUUCAGGAGUCACGCCAAAAGCCUGUGUGUUCGUUUGACUUGCACCAUAAAACUGAUUUACCAGGUCAAAUGGAUAAAUACUGCAGAGAAGACAACACGGAACUCGUUACAGCAUCGCAUUAAAUCACUCAACAACUGGUUGGUUUUUGUUUCCAUGAGGGGGGUCUCAUCCUGUAUCAGACUAGCUGCCUGCUGGAAAGCCAGAAAUAUCAGAACUCCUGCCACAUCCGCUGGAAAAAGGCAAACACAUUCAUUGCGAUCUACGAGUUGGGAACACCCUCUGGAGCCGCGACCAACUCCUUCCUUUCCAGAGGCCUAACACCCUACCUCCAGGCUUCCACUUCGCAACACUCCUGUUCACACCUGACGCUAUGGCCUAAAGCCAUUGCAAAUUGCUUAUUUUACAGUCUAUGCUUAGGCAAGGAGCAGAGUGGCGGGGCCACCGUUUCAAAUAAAUGUUAAUAAUCUUGAACACUAUAAUAUACCAAGUAUGUGGGACAUAGCAUAUUCAGGUCAUAAUUUUCACUAAACUGUGUGGACACUGCAAGAUAACUGCAACAAGUUAUCUCACAAUUCAAAAGGUCUGAGCCUCGGGUGAAACUGUCACUACAGCUAGGGGGGGGCAACUUCAAACGAAAGGAAAAAAUGACUAGUGAGUCUCUGAAUAAUUCAACCCCUUUGAAAUGGCAGCAGCCACUGAAGAAGAAUUAAAGGUCGCCUUUUGAUCUUUCGUCAGGCACACACACCGGCGCGUUUGAGUUCCUGUGUCUCUAAUACUGCUCUUAAAACAUCUGCUCUUGGAGGCGGCUCCAACACCUGUUGUUGAGCGCACACAGCAUGACUGCAUUUACACCUGAGACAUUGGCCAGGUAUGGACGGAGGAGGAGGAGGAGGGAAAACAACAACAAUGACUAGCUGCACCUGAGCUCCUGACGCUCCCCGGCUCACCUGAGGGAACACACCAGCCAAUGAAGAACACCGCUGACGGAAAGAGGAGGCAUUCUCUUUGUCUUACUCAGAAAGAAAGUGAUUUUUUUUUUUUUUUUUUUUUUUAAACCACACAGGUGUGUUGAGAAAACCACUACACGAAACAUCACGCACACCAUGACAAUUUUGCAAUCUGACUAUACUGGCCUGAAGACAACAAGAAUUCAACAAACUUGUACCCGAUAUCCACAUAUAAUAAUAACAACAACAACCCUCAGAGCUUAGGGUGUCUGGUAACUUAUAACCAUCAGUCAUCCAGAACAUAAUGGUUGGGAUCAACUGACGGUAAACAACUUUCCCCACUGAAUGCCACGGACAUCUGAUUGUUCUGUACCAAGUCAUAGAUGCUCCGCUGUCCAUGAACCAAUAAAAAGGGGCAAUAAAAAAAAAUAAAAAAAUAAAAAUCAUGUUCAGCUUUGCGAUGUGAAAGUAACACCAAAGACUGAUUUCUGUGGUCUAAUAAGGGUAAAAGAGGUCUUAGUAAACUGACAAAUAAAUGCCAUGUUGUAUGAUACACUACAAUCCUAAGAUCUGAGGUUUGAACAUAUAACAAGAGUUCCUCUCUUCAUAAUUAAAUAUCAGGUUGCUAAGAGUCCUAUUGGGUGAAGGCAGAGUUCGAGGGUGCUGUGGUUGUUUAGGCUUACACGAGAGCGGAUGUGAGUUGUUUGUUCGAACUUCACCAUUGUGCAGAGAGAAGACCCCGAUGCUCAGCCUCUGCCCAUUAUCCCAAACAAGAAAACCAUCCACAAUGGAUUCCAUCUCCCUUUCCAGCCGUUUCUUUACCUUUCAACAUCCCAUUCAUCGUUCAUUAUCCGUACAGUUCCCAAAGCCAAGGGCUCAUGUUGCAGCAAAUACUCUGUGCGCAGUCUUGUUUUCAAAAAAAAGCUGUCAUUCAUCCAAACACUCUUUGGGAUGUUCUCACGUGAUCGUGUUCAGAGAUCUUAGCACUUAUCAACCUAAAUGAGGCUUAUCCUGUUAAAAGGUUAAAAAUACACGGGGAUUUACAUUUCAAAGCAGCCACUCGGUGUCUUAUGAUGUGUUGAAAAACUCAGAUUGAAAACUCUUUCAGAGGAUUUUGUCAGCCUCAACAAGGACUCCGAUAACGAAGAUCAUAAACACCAAUAUUUACAUGUUACAGAGUAUGGGAGAGAGAUGCCCAACCAUAUAAGGCCAGAGACAGAUAGCAUGACGCACCAAUAAAACAAAAUCUCUUGUUUUCCCGCUGAUAGGCUAUCUACAUAACUAGUACAGGUAUACCGAUGAGCUAUGCUGACCUCUCCCUCAUUAGUUAAACAGGCACAGAUAGGGCUCUGAACUGAGUGUGCAUUUCUAUUUAAUAUGCGUGGUGGUCAUGAUUUAAAACAUCUCCUAACUGUGUAAACAAAUCUUGGAUACAGUGUAACUGAAUUGUGCUUGAUAAAGAGGCCACACAUAACGCUUUAUAAAAACAUCAAAACUUUGAGGAAUUAUCUUAAAAGUGGCGAGCUGGAUUAAUUCAACAUCCAUGGCAUACGUUUACAGAACAGAUUAAUCAUCCCCCGCGUUACCACCUAAUCCCACACAUCUGACCUGAAUAGAACAUAGAAUCUGACCAGGGUACAUAAUUAUGAGAUGGUAGAAUAUCAUCCCCAUCCAGUGACCUAUCACCACCGUUAUAAUGAAACAAACUAAAUAGCCAGAAGGCUGACUCGUUGAAUAUGAAUAUGAACAGGAAGGGUAUUCCAGCUGGGAGAAACGAAGUAUGGAAAUAUGCUGGAAAUCAUUAUCUUCUAGAAACGUUCUAGUUAGAGACUGGCCCUGCCUCUGGGACAAACAUACCAAGAAAGUCAAACAAUAGCCCAAUAUGUAGGCAAGAGGAAUUUAUUUCGCAACGAUUCAAACACCUGCUCUCUCACAGAAUGAACGCACGAGUAGACUACCCUCUUUGCCGCACCACACAGCCUACAUUGAAGACACAGUCCGCCAUUCGGUUUCGCGAAAAGUUGUUGAUAUUUGUGCUCAACAGACAAUCAAAUUACACACCUCCCUUCCGUGCACCGUGUUGAUUGGCUGACUGUUUCUGGCUCGGUCCGACCUUCUAUGUUUGUGUCCCAUUUACGCACACCGGCGGGUUUUUUUGGGCCAACACUGAGCAGACAGUUAGAGAACAAUUCACUGAACUUGACUAAAAGGUGUAUGGGAUUAGAAUCCUGGACUGCGCCUCUAACUGAAUCAAACCAAAUGAAUGUGCACAGACUUCCACAAAUAUUGACUGGUGUCUUGUCCACUGUAGUUGCAAAUCCCGUUAUCACAAAUAUGGCAACUAUGUUAUCUAAAUCCCUGCAAAUUCACGAGAGGAGGCUUUGGUGGGACCACAGUCUUAUUAAAGUCGGUGCAGCAAGUUUAAUGACAUAAGUCAGAAAGGUAAGAAAGAAAGUUAUUUUUGAGAACUUGGGGAUUGGAACACAAAAUAUUAGACCACUGGCAGUAGCGGUUGCCUUUAAACCAAAAUAGUUCUAUUUCUGAUUGAUAACAUUUAUGAAUGCCCCAAAAACUGCAACAGGAAAACAUGAUUGUAGCCUAGGCUAUUUCAAUCAAGAUUUAGGUGUGCGCCCCCGUACAAGGACAUUUUAAGUUUAGAAAAGUCACGAUAUCAGAGCAGCCCCGAAGUCAGCUCAUUUGUGUUCAAUUUUUUUUUAUAAUUCGGAUAUGAAACAUCCAAAGUUAAAACUGCCAAGGUGUCGUAAUGUUACAUUAAAGAAUCAUGAAAUUCUAAACUUACCAAAUGUGCUGUUUUGCAGUCACUUCCACUGAAGUUCCGGUAGCACCAUUAUCGGCGUUGAGAUGGUCGCUGCUGUUUUUAAAAGAAGUUUUCAACAAUUCCUGAGCGGCAGUAGACAAACUAUUGCUUGCUUUAUCAGAGAGAGUAUCACCAGUUAAUGAGUCGCUUUGUUGAAUAUGAUGCGUUUGUUGUAACAAAGUAGCCUGAACGGCACCGGGCGAGGAAACAGACAAGAAAUGCAGCUGCGCUGAUAUCGGAGCUGUCCCGGUCUCGGGAGAUAGGAGCAGCACCUCGGGUUUAUCAAGAUCCACACUUCUCACUUUCCGCAGCUCUUUACGUCUCCAUUGUGCAUUUUCCCCGGUGCUUCUCUUCGCCUUCCCGGGACUACUUGGGAGACCUGGGGUAGACACACUUCCCUGAGGUCCGCUUCCGACGUUUGUGCCGUUAUUCGGCUCUACAGAUCCGGACGACGAGGACGAGGUCCGGCUCCCCGCCGUCGCCAUUUUCUGUCCUGAAUUUUGCCACUUAAUAGGUUCUAUGG